GCGGCAACAGCUCAAAUUUGAAAUCUGGCUCCCUUGGGGCCCGAGUUGUAAUUUGUAGAGGGCGCUUCGGCGUCGGCCCGGGCCUAAGUUCCUUGGAACAGGACGUCGCAGAGGGUGAGAAUCCCGUACGUGGCCCCCGGCCUUCGCCAUGUGAAGCCCCUUCGACGAGUCGAGUUGUUUGGGAAUGCAGCUCUAAAUGGGAGGUAAAUUUCUUCUAAAGCUAAAUACCGGCCAGAGACCGAUAGCGCACAAGUAGAGUGAUCGAAAGAUGAAAAGCACUUUGGAAAGAGAGUCAAAAAGCACGUGAAAUUGUUGAAAGGGAAGCGCUUGCAGCCAGACUUGCCCGCAGUUGCUCACCCAGGCCCACGCCUGGUGCACUCUUCUGCGGGCAGGCCAGCAUCAGUUCGGGCGGUCGGAUAAAGGUCCCGGGAAUGUGGCCCCCCUCGGGGGGUGUUAUAGCCCGGGGCGCAAUGCGGCCAGCCCGGACUGAGGUCCGCGCUUCGGCUAGGAUGCUGGCGUAAUGGCGGCAAGCGGCCCGUCUUGAAACACGGACCAAGGAGUCUAACAUCUAUGCGAGUGUUUGGGUGUCAAGCCCGGGCGCGCAAUGAAAGUGAACGGAGGUGGGAACCCCUUGGGGCGCACCAUCGACCGAUCCUGAUGUCUUCGGAAGGAUUUGAGUAAGAGCAUAGCUGUUGGGACCCGAAAGAUGGU
Molecule: ribosomal RNA, 711 nt
Filed under: Pteridiospora chiangraiensis
Lineage: Eukaryota; Fungi; Ascomycota; Dothideomycetes; Pleosporales; Astrosphaeriellaceae
Description: eukaryotic LSU rRNA
Rfam family: Eukaryotic large subunit ribosomal RNA
Source: RNAcentral